Molecule: ribosomal RNA, 254 nt
Filed under: uncultured bacterium
Lineage: Bacteria
Description: partial 16S ribosomal RNA
Rfam family: Bacterial small subunit ribosomal RNA
Source: RNAcentral
CGGAGGGUGCAAGCGUUAUCCGGAUUCACUGGGUUUAAAGGGUGCGUAGGCGGGUUGGUAAGUCCGUGGUGAAAUCUCCGAGCUUAACUCGGAAACUGCCGUGGAUACUAUCAGUCUUGAAUAUCGUUGAGGUAAGCGGAAUAUGUCAUGUAGCGGUGAAAUGCUUAGAUAUGACAUAGAACACCAAUUGCGAAGGCAGCUUACUGAACGGUCAUUGACGCUGAGGCACGAAAGCGUGGGGAGCAAACAGGAUU